This 1659-nucleotide ribosomal RNA is filed under the name metagenome. RNAcentral's name for it is "bacterial LSU rRNA". It matches the Rfam family "Bacterial large subunit ribosomal RNA", at positions 1283 to 2925 of the family's 2925-position model. The record is from RNAcentral.
GAGAAGUGCGAAUGCUGACAUGAGUAACGACAAUGGGUGUGAAAAACACCCACGCCGAAAGACCAAGGGUUCCUGCGCAACGUUAAUCGACGCAGGGUUAGUCGGUUCCUAAGGCGAGGCUGAAAAGCGUAGUCGAUGGGAAACAGGUUAAUAUUCCUGUACUUCUGGUUACUGCGAUGGAGGGACGGAGAAGGCUAGGCCAGCUUGGCGUUGGUUGUCCAAGUUUAAGGUGGUAGGCUGAAAUCUUAGGGAAAUCCGGGGUUUCAAGGCCGAGAGCUGAUGACGAGUCGUCUUUUAGAUGACGAAGUGGUUGAUGCCAUGCUUCCAAGAAAAGCUUCUAAGCUUCAGGUAACCAGGAACCGUACCCCAAACCGACACAGGUGGUCGGGUAGAGAAUACCAAGGCGCUUGAGAGAACUCGGGUGAAGGAACUAGGCAAAAUGGCACCGUAACUUCGGGAGAAGGUGCGCCGGCUAGGGUGAAGGAUUUACUCCGUAAGCUCUGGCUGGUCGAAGAUACCAGGCCGCUGCGACUGUUUAUUAAAAACACAGCACUCUGCAAACACGAAAGUGGACGUAUAGGGUGUGACGCCUCCCCGGUGCCGGAAGGUUAAUUGAUGGGGUUAGCGCAAGCGAAGCUCUUGAUCGAAGCCCCGGUAAACGGCGGCCGUAACAAUAACGGUCCUAAGGUAGCGAAAUUCCUUGUCGGGUAAGUUCCGACCUGCACGAAUGGCGUAACGAUGGCGGCGCUGUCUCCACCCGAGACUCAGUGAAAUUGAAAUCGCUGUGAAGAUGCAGUGUAUCCGCGGCUAGACGGAAAGACCCCGUGAACCUUUACUGUAGCUUUGCACUGGACUUUGAGCCUGCUUGUGUAGGAUAGGUGGGAGGCUUUGAAGCGUGGACGCCAGUUCGCGUGGAGCCAUCCUUGAAAUACCACCCUGGCAUGCUUGAGGUUCUAACUCUGGUCCGUAAUCCGGAUCGAGGACAGUGUAUGGUGGGCAGUUUGACUGGGGCGGUCUCCUCCUAAAGAGUAACGGAGGAGUACGAAGGUGCGCUCAGACCGGUCGGAAAUCGGUCGCAGAGUAUAAAGGCAAAAGCGCGCUUGACUGCGAGACAGACACGUCGAGCAGGUACGAAAGUAGGUCUUAGUGAUCCGGUGGUUCUGUAUGGAAGGGCCAUCGCUCAACGGAUAAAAGGUACUCCGAGGAUAACAGGCUGAUACCGCCCAAGAGUUCAUAUCGACGGCGGUGUUUGGCACCUCGAUGUCGGCUCAUCACAUCCUGGGGCUGAAGCCGGUCCCAAGGGUAUGGCUGUUCGCCAUUUAAAGUGGUACGCGAGCUGGGUUUAGAACGUCGUGAGACAGUUCGGUCCCUAUCUGCCGUGGACGUUUGAGAUUUGAGAGGGGCUGCUCCUAGUACGAGAGGACCGGAGUGGACGAACCUCUGGUGUUCCGGUUGUCACGCCAGUGGCAUUGCCGGGUAGCUAUGUUCGGAAAAGAUAACCGCUGAAAGCAUCUAAGCGGGAAACUUGCCUCAAGAUGAGAUCUCACUGGGAACUUGAUUCCCCUGAAGGGCCGUCGAAGACUACGACGUUGAUAGGCUGGGUGUGUAAGCGUUGUGAGGCGUUGAGCUAACCAGUACUAAUUGCCCGUGAGGCUUGAC